RNAcentral lists this unclassified non-coding RNA (743 nucleotides) under Camponotus floridanus (Florida carpenter ant). RNAcentral's name for it is "uncharacterized LOC105251734, transcript variant X13". The record is from RNAcentral. Lineage: Eukaryota; Metazoa; Arthropoda; Insecta; Hymenoptera; Formicidae.
UCAUGCAGCGCCUCACUGUUAUAAAUCGGUGAACUAUAAGGCGUGAAAAAUGGCCUCGUAAGCGAGAAAUGACAGCCCAAUUUACGUUGCGUCCCAUUUCAUAAUUAUUUGCUUUGUGCUAGUGUUGUGGUGUGCAAUGUAUUAAGAAAACUUGUAAAAAUGGACGGAUACUAAGCUGUAUAAGGAACAAACUUUAGAAAGUAACAUUUUCCUCUCCUUUCGACAGCUGUCAAAUCGCGUGUUUUUUCGCAUUUUCAAGGCUUCAUUUUGGACUCAAUUUACGGCUAUUUAUAAAGUGUCAAAGGAAAGGAUUAGUAUCCGUCCAUUUUUACAGGUGUGCUGAAGAGAUUGGUAGUCUUAUUUCAUUCAAAUAUGUUUUUAUUUAGAUGUCAGUCGCAAUAUAAAUCUGGGUGUCCUUUCUCGCUUAUGACGUCACGAUUUCAAGAUGGCCGCGGUGACUACUCCGGAGCCUUAACACUUACGACGAAUAAAUUUUAAAAUUACCUUACCGGCAAGCAAGCACAUGUCAACAAAAAUAAAUACGCGGAAAUCAAGCAGUUGGAUACUGCCAGAUUAGCAGAUGUGGAAGAGUAUGUCUACCAGAAAUUCGGGAGGUCGGCGGAUCAUACUAAACUGUUUCGCAUCGCUGUACGAAACAAAUGUAACAAUGCCAAAAAACAAACAUCUGUUUCAUCGUCAAGAUAAAUGAGACUAUCAGUAUUAAAACAUUUUUUUAUUUCAUG